Molecule: transfer RNA, 69 nt
Filed under: Aseraggodes kaianus (Kai sole)
Lineage: Eukaryota; Metazoa; Chordata; Actinopteri; Pleuronectiformes; Soleidae
Description: tRNA-Glu
Rfam family: tRNA
About the family: Transfer RNA (tRNA) molecules are approximately 80 nucleotides in length. Their secondary structure includes four short double-helical elements and three loops (D, anti-codon, and T loops).
Source: RNAcentral
GUUCUUGUAGUUGAAUUACAACUGUGGUUUUUCAAGUCAUCAGUCCAGGUUAAAGUCCUGGUGGGAACC